ACCCGCUCGAGCACUCGGGGUCCCCGGGAGGCCAGCGGCGCUGGGCGUUCUGGGAGUUGUAGUCCACAGACCCCCAUCUGCAGCGCCGUCGCAGCGGCGACAGGACUACGUUUCCCAGAGGCCCGGGCGCGGAAUGGCGGCGGCCGGUGGCGCUGGGGAGUCGUGAGAGCUGGCUCCGGCUCCGGUUCCAACCCUGACACCGGCACCAGGACCAGGAGCAGGAUGUAUACACUACUGUCAGGGCUCUAUAAAUACAUGUUCCAGAGGGAUGAGUACUGUGUCCUGAUCCUGGGUUUGGACAAUGCUGGUAAAACUACCUUCCUUGAGCAAACUAAAACCCGAUUUAACAAGAAUUACAAAGGGAUGAGUUUGUCCAAAAUCACAACCACUGUAGGCUUAAACAUUGGAACUAUUGAUGUUGGCAAAACUCGGCUGAUGUUCUGGGACCUUGGUGGGCAGGAGGAGCUUCAGUCACUUUGGGACAAGUACUAUGCUGAAUCUCAUGGGGUGAUCUAUGUUAUUGACUCCACCGAUGAAGAGAGGCUCUCUGAGUCCAAAAGAGCUUUUGAGAAGAUGAUCACCAGUGAAGCUCUGGAAGGGGUUCCCAUUCUGGUGUUGGCCAACAAGCAGGAUGUAGAGGAACUAUUGCUUUGAAGGAGAAAUAAAACAUCUGAUAUCUAAUUCCUGUGAACUCCCUUUCACCUCAGAAUGCCACUUUUGAAAAUACAGCUUAUUGUAGAAAAAACAGCAAAAUAAGAAUUGAUAAUUGCUGUUUUGAUGUGAAUGCAGCUGUUGAAAGGUUUAUGCAAGGUAUGUAUUUCUAAGCUUUACAAUGAGCUGUUACAAUUUGGGAAUAGAAUGGCUCAUGAUGCCACACUAUUCAAAAUACUGGCAAAACAUGACUCAUCAAAAACAGCAUCUGAAAUUUAACAAUGUGAAAGUUACCAGGUGCUGUAUGAUGACCCACGUCUGGGAGGAAGUUUUCCAUCCUCAUCUAAAGCUAAAUUUUGGAAAUUUAAUUUGAAAUCUCCAGAAUGUUGAAAAGCCUCCUCAUGCCUUUGGAAAAUGUGAGGAGUCAUGUUCCAUUCUGAUGGCUGAUUACUCUUGAGAUGACUGAAGAGCCUCUACUUGAGGUUUUAUCCAUGCUUCCAGUUUUAUCCUGACAGGAGACCAGGCAGCAGCGUUAUCUUUGCUCCAGUGGAUUUGGGAAAUGGGCAAAGGCUCUACAACCUUUUUUUGUCUAAAACUUGCCUUGCUGCUUGAUAGAUUUUUUAAGUGUGUCAUUGCUGACUCUUACUUUGGGUAAUGCUAUUCUGAACCCUUUGUAGGAGGAAUUUGGUUCAGUCCUGGCUAGAUUAUGCCUGGGGGAGCCUUCAUCAAAAGAAAUUCCAUAGUGUGUUAUUUUGGGGAAGCUGAGAUGGAAAUCUGGUUCGUCAUGUGUUGUGUAUGAGGUUCCUGUGAAGUGGCUGAGAGAUACCAUCAUUCCUGAAAGGUCACUGUGGAUUGUGUUACUGUAAUGGAGCACUGUUGAUGUGAUCACAGAUCCAGCUUCCCUUCUUUGCCCUGAGGUUAUGGGUUUGCAGCUGAGAAACAAAACACAUCUGUAAACAAAUAUUUUGUAAUGUGGCUGGGGGGAAGGGGAACUUGGAAGCCACAGCUGACAUUUUCCCCUGAGCAUGAGAAGCUCAGAUGCCCCUUGCUGAAGUGAGGGAUAAUCUGCCUCAACCCCUGCUGUCUGUCACAUGAGAUUCCAGUUCAGGGCUUUUCCUGGAACACUAAAACAAGGUGUUAGCUGUGAUAGUUUGGUGUUACCCCUCUGCUGUGCUGCAAAGGGAAAAUGAUGUUCCUCAAAAUGGGAUUGGUGAUGCAGUGAUAUCCUGCUCUGACAGUGUGAAUGGUGCAGUCUCCUCAGAAGCAAAACUCUUUCUGAUGCAGGUUUCCAUGGAAAGCCAUGGCUGUGCAGCUCUGUGGAAGGUGGGGCAUGCCACAGCUCUACCAGAAGACUUGUCUCUCAAUACCUGAUAUCAAGACAGCAUUUAGUGACUGCAUUAACAAGAUUGGGAAGAGAGACUGCCUGACACAAGCCUGCUCAGCCCUUACUGGCAAAGGGGUGAAUGAAGGCAUUGAAUGGAUGGUGAAGUGUGUGGUGAGGAACAUCCACCGCCCCCCAAGAAAGAAGGACAUCACGUAGGAACUCCGAGCCAGCCAAGCAAUGGACAGUCUCUUUCCACACACUUUGUGUUCCCUUUAAAGAAGGUGAUCCACUGGAUUCCUAUUACACCUGAUUCUUUCCUAAGUUUGGAGACAAA
Molecule: RNA transcript, 2309 nt
Organism: Parus major (Great Tit)
Lineage: Eukaryota; Metazoa; Chordata; Aves; Passeriformes; Paridae
Gene: ARFRP1
Gene name: ADP ribosylation factor related protein 1
Exons: 10
Source: RefSeq, a predicted model, not a curated record